CAGCAGCCGCGGGAAUACGUAGGGUGCGAGCGUUAAUCGGAAUUACUGGGCGUAAAGCGUGCGCAGGCGGUUGUGUAAGACAGGUGUGAAAUCCCCGGGCUUAACCUGGGAACUGCGCUUGUGACUGCACAGCUAGAGUAUGGCAGAGGGGGGUGGAAUUCCACGUGUAGCAGUGAAAUGCGUAGAGAUGUGGAGGAACACCGAUGGCGAAGGCGGCCCCCUGGGCCAAUACUGACGCUCAUGCACGAAAGCGUGGGGAGCAAACAGGAUUAGAUACCCCCGUAGUCCCUGUCUCUUAUAC
Molecule: ribosomal RNA, 301 nt
Filed under: uncultured bacterium
Lineage: Bacteria
Description: partial 16S ribosomal RNA
Rfam family: Bacterial small subunit ribosomal RNA
Source: RNAcentral